RNA transcript from Rosa chinensis, 876 nucleotides. It is a transcript of the gene named mannosylglycoprotein endo-beta-mannosidase-like, with no coding region annotated. The transcript is spliced from 3 exons. The record is from RefSeq and is a predicted model, not a curated record. NCBI's taxonomy places the organism in Eukaryota, Viridiplantae, Streptophyta, Magnoliopsida, Rosales, Rosaceae.
UCCCCCCCCCCUUAACUGACCUCACCGCCAUGGCUCGACGAUCAGUUGUGAUCCUCCGACCUCCACCACCUCCUAACAAAGCCCCGAUAGGUCACCUGCAUGCCUUGACCCGGCGAUAGAGCUCCACGUGUGGUAUGAUCUCUGGUGACCGAAUCGAACCGCUUGUCACGAACGCCGUCGUGCCUCUUGAAUUCUUGCUCCAACGACGCAAAGGCAAUCUUCACUGCUAUGAUUGUCAGAGGCGAGCUCGGGGCUCCAAUACCCUGAGCGGUUCUACGUGGCGGCCUCCUACGCCGGUUUCGACGGAUCUCCUCGCUCCUCCUCUAAAGCCGUUCGCGCCAAGUUCAACUCUGAGUCCGCUCUCAUCCUCUACGCUCUCUAUAAGCAGUGAUAGUGUUUUGGCAACCAUGGUGAAAUGCAAAUUGAUGGAUCCGUUUUACGGCUUGGUAAAUGAAUAUCAAUCAUAGAUAUUGUUGAUUCAGGGAGGCAGUGGUGCACAUUCUGGUACUUUUAAGACCUUUCAGUGUAAGCUGGUACGUGAUACAUAUAAAUGAUAAAAUGCACUUUGAGUCAGGUACUCAGCACCUAGAUCUGAAUUUCCGUGGAAUCAAUUACUAUGCAGAGGUAUAUUUAAAUGGGCACAAAAAGGUCCUUCCAAGAGGGAUGUUUCGAAGGCAUUCUCUAGAUGUCACUGAUAUAGUACAUGACAGUGAAAAUAUGCUUGCUGUUGUUGUUUACCCCAGAUCAUUGUGGUUAUGUUUUAUUUUGUUUAAUGCGCUUAUGGGAGGUUGUCCUAAUUGAAAAAAGUGUUGUGGUUGUACUUGGACUAAAAUCACUUGAAAUCUUCUUAAAAUCACAAUAAAAUCUUCUUACUAA